CAUGUUUUCCUUUUUCGCCAGCCCGCGCGUGCCCAAAUCCAGACCGCCAAGCUCGUCUAGUCCAGUCCCCCGCGCGCCCCAAUCCCCUGCGCCGCCGUCCCCGAGGCCCGGCCGCCGCACCUGCUUGCGCCGUCCCCCACCCCGGGCUCCAGACGCGGCGCCGUCCCCGAGCCCCUGCCGCCGCCCCUGGUUGCGCCAUCCCCCGCCCCAGUGGCCAGCGCUCGCGGCGCUCGAGCACGGCCAGGCGAGCGGGCGGCCAGUCGCGGCGCCCAGCGCGGGGAACAGGCGCGCACGCCGCGUGCUCGCGGCUGAGCACGCAGCGCCGCAGCAGGCCUGGGCCAGCAACGGCACUCAGCCCAAGGCGUCCAGCAGCUUGGGGGUGCUGCGGCCAGGCCGGCGGUGCGAGCAGGAGCAGGUCGGCAGCAGCAGCUGGGCCAAUUCGGUUUGAAUCCUCUCUUUGCACUUGCCAAUUAAUUCCUGCUCAUUUAUUUAAGCUAAUUGACGGCCACAAGCUGCAAGGUCUGAGGAUCGACUACUGCACAAUUUGUGGUUUGGAAAGUUACAGGACAUAGAUGGGAGAGGGCUUAUGAAGGCCUUUUGAUUUUACGACUCAUAGCCUGGCGCCGUGCGUCCUCCUGGUCAACUUGUUCCAGCGCUGAUGGUGUCCAGCUCCUCCCUGAGCUUCCCAUUCUCCUUCUGCAGCGUGGAGACCUUCAGCUGCAGGUGCUGCUCCUCAUGACAGAAGAGGGAGGCAGCUCAUCUAAUGACAUUUGCGCUUAGCUGGACCAACAUCCUUUGCACCAAUUAUUGAGAUGGCUAUGAUCAUUGUGGAGCAAAGUGGUGGCCAAUACCAUGUUCUAUUGAUAAUUGCCGAUGGCCAAUACUUGUUGCGUGUCUGGUUUCAUUGUUUGUGAUAGUGUAUUCAGAACACGUCGAGGGCUCUAUCUGUUGAUGCAGUGAGUACUGUGGGCAGAAACAUCUCCGUAUAUGUGGA
Long non-coding RNA from Panicum virgatum (switchgrass), 994 nucleotides. RefSeq lists it as uncharacterized. The record is from RefSeq and is a predicted model, not a curated record. The transcript has 4 exons. Lineage: Eukaryota; Viridiplantae; Streptophyta; Magnoliopsida; Poales; Poaceae.